Molecule: ribosomal RNA, 394 nt
Filed under: uncultured bacterium
Lineage: Bacteria
Description: bacterial SSU rRNA
Rfam family: Bacterial small subunit ribosomal RNA
Source: RNAcentral
UUAGGAAUCUUCCACAAUGGGCGAAAGCCUGAUGGAGCGACGCCGCGUGAGGGAUGAAGGCCUUAGGGUUGUAAACCUCUAAAAGAGGGACGAUAAUGACGGUACCUCUUGAAUAGCACCGGCUAACUCCGUGCCAGCAGCCGCGGUAAUACGGAGGGUGCAAGCGUUAUCCGGAAUCACUGGGCGUAAAGGGCGCGUAGGCGGUCAGUUAAGUCCGAUGUUAAAUCCCGGGGCUCAACCCCGGAUAAGCGUUGGAUACUGGCAGGCUAGACGGUUGGAGAGGAAAGUGGAAUUACCAGUGUAGCGGUGGAAUGCGUAGAUACUGGUAGGAACGCCCAUUGCGAAGGCAGCUCGCUGGACGACACGUGACGCUGAGGCGCGAAAGUGUGGGGAG